This 1941-nucleotide ribosomal RNA is filed under the name Triticum aestivum (bread wheat). RNAcentral describes it as "partial small subunit ribosomal RNA". The record is from RNAcentral. Lineage: Eukaryota; Viridiplantae; Streptophyta; Magnoliopsida; Poales; Poaceae.
GAUUUCGUACGUCCAUGGACUUGUGGGUUCGGGCUGUUUUUACACUACCGGGUUAGGUGUGGUUCUAAUUCCGGGACUUUUUGUUAACCCGCCGUGUACUUAUUAUACGUACUGAUGUUUAAGUGUUCCCUCCGAGGGGUUAAGAACUAACGCCGCAUACGCGUCGACGACCAUUGUACGUAUUUGUUUUUAGCCUCUAUCAUUGUAGUGUCGUACGUACGAUGAGGGAGGCAAGGAUUUAUGAACAGAAAGAUCCGUAAAGUUUACUGAUAGUGUAUGCCUACAUACAUCUGUAUAAAAUCUCACAUUUAAGUGAGUAAAAUGAGGCAUACAUCAAUAAACAACUUUACGGAUUUUUCUGUUCAUAAAUCUUUGCCUCCUUCAUCAUAAACACCGGUCCCGACGUACCCUGUAUUCGUUCACCCUCUGCUGCCUCUCUCUCGCUUGACUUAGCCGUCACUGCUGCCGUGGUAGCUUCAAUCCGGAGCUUCGCUUCCGUCUGCGCAGCCUGCUCCUGCUGUUCCUCGAGGACCUGCGUCGCCGACCCUUCUGCCACUGCCGCGGCGGCGACGUUCGCACCCCAACCUCCGCCGUGUGCUUCUCCUCAGGCCUCGAGCCCCUCCUUGGCCGCCGCGCUGCUCUCCGCUCCUCUGCUUGGCCUUCCCCCAGACCCCACCUGCCGCCGCCGCCGCCACGUCGCCCCGACCCUGGGUGCACCCACCAGGGCCGAACAGACACAGAGCACACCCCUAACAAACCCACUCCAAACAGACGAACAGACGGAACAAACGCAAACCUAGACCUAGCUCGGUGGGCGCACACCUACGCAAGCUCUCUGCCAAGCCGAACGACAUUUACGCGAGCCGCGUGACCAGCAAGUUGAUUUUAUUUAAGACUAUGCAGGGACGCCACACCACCUGCGUCGGGUGCAUUGCUAGCGAGGGAACGCACGAUAGACGAGGAAAAAAAAACUCCCCACGCACGAUAGACGAGGAACAUAUAUGUCGGCAGCGAGAACAGGAGACAAGCAGGAAGGCGGAGCGAGCGAGGUCGGCAGUGGAGAGCAGGAGACAAGGAGCAAGACGGAGUGAGGUGGGCGGCGACGUGACGAAGACAUCUGGUGGUACUUCCACCAACAACCAACUCACACUCACUCUCGAGAUCAGGAAGUAGCUAGCGAGUAGAACAAGCAGUUACUUAAGACGCGGACAGUAGCAGUGGUUCUUUAGCGUGAUUAGCCAAGCAGCAGUCUAAACGGAAUGACAAAGUAGACGAGUUUCCUAGUAGAAAAAGAACUCCUUAACCGCAGUAGUCAACUAUUAGCUCAAAUGGAACAAUAAACUAGACGACCCGUAUAGUUGAGACGUCAUUCCUUUAAUCGACUCGGAAGAUAGUGGUUUAUUUUCCCAACACUACAGCGAUGCUGUCGACGACCCUACCAGCCUACCUCUCCAUUACGCCGGCCUCAGUUUCGGGACGAGCGCUGACUACGCGGUGUGACGACCAUAGAAGAGUCAACCACCACCAGAACGAAAGACCCACGAAACGGCGGAAGUGAUACCAGGUUCCUAUUGCCAAGGUUCCUCAGAAUCCACCCGUAGGACACCUCGCUAUCCGUGCUCGCGCUGCCGUCGGUACGAACACGCCGAGAAGUCGGGCCUCACACUUGGCGUCUUGUAUCGUCGAAAACUGUCUGGACUUAUGUUCGGACGUAUCACAGUACUUUUAGGUCACGGUCCAGAUGGUUCGGUAUACGCUCAAAAGACUAAGCCGGGAACCAUAGACGGAACGUUCUACAAAUACGUAUUUACAUGGAGGGGACUUUAACCUGUGAAGAUACAAGGGAUGUGAGACCGGCGACAAUAAAACAAGGCUUUGAUCCUUGAAAAAUGUAGUUUAAACCUCGACCAUGGAAAACGUAGUUUAAACCAAAGGCAACGA